GGUUGGAGUGGUGGGAAGGGGUGGGAGAGAGGUGGGAGAUGGUGGGGGAGAGAUGGGAGUGGGUUGGGAGCGUCAAAAAAGGCUUGGAAGUGGUAAAAAGGGGUCAAACGUGACUAAAACUGGGCUUGAGACCGUCAGAAAUGGCUUGGAAGUGGUAAAAAGGGGUCAAAAGUGACUAAAGUUGGGCUUGAGACCAUCAAAAAAGGCUUGGAAGUGGUAAAAAUGGGUUGAAAGGAGCGAAAAUUGGCUUGAGACCGUCAAAAAUGGCUUGGAAGUGGUAAAAAUGGGUGAAAGUGAGCGAAAAUUGGCUUGAGACCAUCAAAAAUGGCUUGGAAGUGGUAAAAAUGGGUGAAAGUGAGCAAAAAUUGGCUUGAGACCGUCAAAAAUGGCUUGGAAGUGGUAAAAAUGGGUGAAAGUGAGCGGAAAUUGGCUUGAGACCGUCAAAAAAUGGCCUGGAAGUGGUAAAAAAAGGUCAAAAGUGACUAAAAUUGGGCUUGAGACCAUCAAAAAAGGCUUGGAAGUGGUAAAAAGGAGUCAAAAGUGAGUGAAAAUUGGCUUGAGACCAUCAAAAAUGGCUUGGAAGUGUUAAAAAGGAGUCAAAAGUGAGCGAAAAUUGGCUUGAGACCGUCAAAAAUGGCUUGGAAGCGACAAGAAAUGGUGGGAAAGAUCAGAAGUGGUUUGAAAGUAACAAAAUUUGACUUGAAAGCAGCCAAAAUGGCUCGAAACCAUCAAAAAAUUGGUGCAACCGUCAAAAAUUGGUCCAAAGCCAACAGAAAGGUCUUGAGAUCAUCAAAAAUGGGCUUAAAGCCCCCAAAAAUGGGUUGAAACCACCAAAAAUGGAUGAAACCACCAAUAAUAGGCUUAAAACCACCAAAAAUGGGUUGAAGGCCAACAAAAAGGUCUUGAAACCACCAAAAAUGGGUUUGAAACCACCAAAAAUGGGUUGAAGUCCAAGAAAAAGGUCUUGAAACCACCAAAAAUUGGUGGGAAACCAAUGGAAAGGGCUUGAAACCACCAAAAAUUGGCUUAAAACCAUCAAAAAUACUUUGAAACCACCAAAAAUUGGUCGAAACCCAAUGGAAAGGUCUUGAAAUCCUCAAAAAUUGGCUUAAAGCAACCAAAAAUGGUUUGAAACCACCGAAAAUUGGUCGAAACCCAACGGAAAGGUCUUGAAAUGACCAAAAAUUGGCUUGAAACCACCGAAAUUGGUUUGAAAGCAUCAAAAAUUGGUCGAAACCCAACGGAAAGGUCUUGAACGCGACAAAACCGGCUCGAAAAUGCCCAAAAUCGGUCGAAAUGCAUCAGGACGGUCUCGAAACCACCAAAACUGGUUUGAAAGCAUCAAAAAAUCGGCGAAAGCAUCAAAAGAUGCUUUGAAAGCAUCAAAAAAAGAUGGAAAACCAACAGGAAAUGCUUGAAAGCAUCAAAAAUUGGCUUGAAUCCACCAAAAAUGGUCCAAACCCAACAGGAAGGUCUUGAAAUCCUCAAAAAUUGGCUCCAAGCCACCAAAAAUGGGUUGAAACCACCAAAAAUUGGUGGAAACCCACCAGAAAGGUCUUGAAAGCAUCCGAAAAUUGGCUUGAAACCACCCAAAUCGGUUUGAAAACAUCAAAAAUUGGUCGAAACCCAACAGAAAGGUCUUGAAACCACCAAAAAUGGAUGAAACCCACCAAAACUUGGCCUAAACCCACCCAAAAUCGCUUCAAACCCAACAGAAGAGUCUUGAGCCCACCCAAAAUAGGCUUAAAACCACCAAAAUUGCUCCAAACCCAACAGAAAGGUCUUGAACCCACCAAAAAUUGGCUUAAAAUCACCAAAAAUGGAUGAAACCCAA
Molecule: long non-coding RNA, 1834 nt
Organism: Corvus hawaiiensis (hawaiian crow)
Lineage: Eukaryota; Metazoa; Chordata; Aves; Passeriformes; Corvidae
Exons: 2
Source: RefSeq, a predicted model, not a curated record